UAGACAGCUAGGAGGUUGGCUUAGAAGCAGCCACCCUUUAAAGAAAGCGUAAUAGCUCACUAGUCGAGUCGGCCUGCGCGGAAGAUGUAACGGGGCUCAAACCAUACACCGAAGCUACGGGUAUCACGCAAGUGAUGCGGUAGAGGAGCGUUCUGUAAGCCUGUGAAGGUGAGUUGAGAAGCUUGCUGGAGGUAUCAGAAGUGCGAAUGCUGACAUGAGUAACGACAAUGGGUGUGAAAAACACCCACGCCGAAAGACCAAGGUUUCCUGCGCAACGUUAAUCGACGCAGGGUUAGUCGGUCCCUAAGGCGAGGCUGAAAAGCGUAGUCGAUGGAAAACAGGUUAAUAUUCCUGUACUUCUGGUUAUUGCGAUGGAGGGACGGAGAAGGCUAGGCCAGCUUGGCGUUGGUUGUCCAAGUUUAAGGUGGUAGGCUGAAAUCUUAGGUAAAUCCGGGGUUUCAAGGCCGAGAGCUGAUGACGAGUUACCCUCUGGGUGACGAAGUGGUUGAUGCCAUGCUUCCAAGAAAAGCUUCUAAGCUUCAGAUAACCAGGAACCGUACCCCAAACCGACACAGGUGGUUGGGUAGAGAAUACCAAGGCGCUUGAGAGAACUCGGGUGAAGGAACUAGGCAAAAUGGCACCGUAACUUCGGGAGAAGGUGCGCCGGUGAGGGUCAAGCACUUGCUGCGUAAGCCCACGCCGGUCGAAGAUACCAGGCCGCUGCGACUGUUUAUUAAAAACACAGCACUCUGCAAACACGAAAGUGGACGUAUAGGGUGUGAC
RNAcentral lists this ribosomal RNA (783 nucleotides) under Mesorhizobium sp. Its description in RNAcentral is "partial 23S ribosomal RNA". It matches the Rfam family "Bacterial large subunit ribosomal RNA", at positions 1086 to 1856 of the family's 2925-position model. Lineage: Bacteria; Pseudomonadati; Pseudomonadota; Alphaproteobacteria; Hyphomicrobiales; Phyllobacteriaceae. The record is from RNAcentral.